GACCCCUUAGCUCAGUGGUAGAGUGUGUGAUUCCAGCUUUCCUUCUGAGGAAGUGCUUCCACAAGGCCAUCCGUUCGAUCCGGGUAGGGGUCA
Non-coding RNA from Hymenopellis radicata, 93 nucleotides. NCBI's taxonomy places the organism in Eukaryota, Fungi, Basidiomycota, Agaricomycetes, Agaricales, Physalacriaceae. The record is from the annotation of a GenBank genome assembly.